RNAcentral lists this ribosomal RNA (942 nucleotides) under uncultured bacterium. Its description in RNAcentral is "bacterial SSU rRNA". It matches the Rfam family "Bacterial small subunit ribosomal RNA", at positions 543 to 1499 of the family's 1533-position model. The record is from RNAcentral.
AUCCGGAUUCAUUGGGUUUAAAGGGUGCGUAGGCGGCUUUUUAAGUCAGUGGUGAAAUCUUGCCGCUUAACGGUAAAAUUGCCAUUGAUACUGAAAAGCUUGAGUACAGUUGAGGUAAGCGGAAUGUGUAGUGUAGCGGUGAAAUGCUUAGAUAUUACACAGAACACCGAUUGCGAAGGCAGCUUACUAAACUGUUACUGACGCUGAUGCACGAAAGCGUGGGGAGCGAACAGGAUUAGAUACCCUGGUAGUCCACGCCGUAAACGAUGAUCACUCGCUGUAUGCGAUACACAGUAUGCGGCCAAGCGAAAGCAUUAAGUGAUCCACCUGGGGAGUACGAUCGCAAGGUUGAAACUCAAAGGAAUUGACGGGGGCCCGCACAAGCGGAGGAACAUGUGGUUUAAUUCGAUGAUACGCGAGGAACCUUACCUGGGCUUAAAUGGGGAACGACAGCUGCCGAAAGGUGGCCUUCUUCGGACGUUCUUCAAGGUGCUGCAUGGUUGUCGUCAGCUCGUGCCGUGAGGUGUCGGGUUAAGUCCCAUAACGAGCGCAACCCUUAUCGUUAGUUGCCAGCGGGUCAUGCCGGGGACUCUAGCGAGACUGCCACCGUAAGGUGUGAGGAAGGUGGGGAUGACGUCAAAUCAGCACGGCCCUUAUGUCCAGGGCUACACACGUGUUACAAUGGCCAAUACAAAGGGCAGCUACCGGGUGACCGGAUGCUAAUCUCUAAAGUUGGUCUCAGUUCGGAUCGAAGUCUGCAACCCGACUUCGUGAAGCUGGAUUCGCUAGUAAUCGCAUAUCAGCCAUGAUGCGGUGAAUACGUUCCCGGGCCUUGUACACACCGCCCGUCAAACAAUGGAAGCUGGGGGUACCUGAAGUCUGUAACCGCAAGGAGCGGCCUAGGGUAAAACUAGUAACUGGUGUUAAGUCGUAACAAGGUAA